AGAAAGCACCGCUAAAUACGUGCCAGCAGCCGGGGUAAAACGUAGGGGGCAGCGUUGUCCGGGAUUUAUGGGUGUAAGGGAGGGCAGGCGGACCCGCCAGUUGGAAGUGAAAACUAUGGGCUCAACCCAUAAAUUGCUUUAAAACUGCUGGCCUUGAGUAGUGCAGAGGUAGGUGGAAUUCCCGGUGUAGCGGUGGAAUGCGUAGAUAUCGGGAGGAACACCAGUGGCGAAGGCGACCUACUGGGCACCAACUGACGCUGAGGCUCGAAAGCAUGGGUAGCAAACAGGAUUAGAUACCCUGGUAGUCCAUGCCGUAAACGAUGAUUACUAGGUGUUGGAGGAUUGACCCCUUCAGUGCCGCAGUUAACACAAUAAGUAAUCCACCUGGGGAGUACGACCGCAAGGUUGAAACUCAAAGGAAUUGACGGGGGCCCGCACAAGCAGUGGAGUAUGUGGUUUAAUUCGAAGCAACGCGAAGAACCUUACCAGGUCUUGACAUCCGAUGCAUAGUGCAGAGAUGCAUGAAGUCCUUCGGGACAUCGAGACAGGUGGUGCAUGGUUGUCGUCAGCUCGUGUCGUGAGAUGUUGGGUUAAGUCCCGCAACGAGCGCAACCCUUAUUGCCAGUUACUACGUAAGAGGACUCUGGCGAGACUGCCGUUGACAAAACGGAGGAAGGUGGGGAUGACGUCAAAUCAUCAUGCCCUUUAUGACCUGGGCUACACACGUACUACAAUGGCGUUUAACAAAGAGAAGCAAGACCGCGAGGUGGAGCAAAACUCAAAAACAACGUCUCAGUUCAGAUUGCAGGCUGCAACUCGCCUGCAUGAAGUCGGAAUUGCUAGUAAUCGCGGAUCAGCAUGCCGCGGUGAAUACGUUCCCGGGCCUUGUACACACCGCCCGUCACACCAUGAGAGCCGGGGGGACCCGAAGUCGGUAGUCUAACCGCAAGGAGGACGCCGCCGAAGGUAAAACUGGUGAUUGGGGUGAAGUCGUAACAAGGUAGCCGU
RNAcentral lists this ribosomal RNA (1008 nucleotides) under uncultured bacterium. RNAcentral describes it as "bacterial SSU rRNA". It matches the Rfam family "Bacterial small subunit ribosomal RNA", at positions 485 to 1503 of the family's 1533-position model. The record is from RNAcentral.